RNAcentral lists this ribosomal RNA (780 nucleotides) under uncultured Neocallimastigales. RNAcentral describes it as "partial large subunit ribosomal RNA". It matches the Rfam family "Eukaryotic large subunit ribosomal RNA", at positions 23 to 646 of the family's 3401-position model. Lineage: Eukaryota; Fungi; Neocallimastigomycota; Neocallimastigomycetes; Neocallimastigales. The record is from RNAcentral.
GAGACUCUGUGCGCGUGCAUAUCAAUAAGCGGAGGAAAAGAAACUAACAAGGAUUCCCCUAGUAACGGCGAGUGAAGCGGGAAGAGCUCAAAUUUGAAAUCUUAAAGGGUUUCCCUUUACGAAUUGUAGUUUAAAGAAGUGUUUUCUGUUGGAGUUUCGGUAAAAGUUCUUUGGAAUAGGACAUCAUAGAGGGUGAGAAUCCCGUAUUUGACCGUUACUUUCCAGCUGUGUGAUACACUUCCAAAGAGUCGGAUUGUUUGGGAAUGCAGUCCAAAAUGGGUGGUAAAUUUCAUCUAAAGCUAAAUAUUGGCGAGAGACCGAUAGCGAACAAGUACCGUGAGGGAAAGAUGAAAAGAACUUUGAAAAGAGAGUUAAACAGUACGUGAAAUUGUCAAAAGGGAAGCGUUUGACACCAGUGUUGUUUAGUUGAAAAUCAAUUCAAUAGUUUUUGAUUCUAAGUAGUAUUGACUUCAUCAGCUUGCUGCUUUCUUCUCAGAAAUUAUUGAAUGCACUUUUCAGUUAACAAGUCAACAUCAAUUUCUUUUGUUGUAAAAGGGUAAGAGGAAGGUGGCUUGCGCUUCGGCUCAAGUGUUUAUAGCCUUUUAUCUCUGCAAUCGGAGAGAUUGAGGUCUGCAGCGUAGAUCCUUCGGGGUUAGAUACAUUUGGUGCUAAGCUUAUAGCUUGUCAUAGACAACUUGUUGACUAUGUUUCAGUCUAUGUAGCUUACUCGCUGACUGCUAUUUUACCUACGCUUAGGAUGUUGAUCUGUAGUGCGUGCGC